Molecule: transfer RNA, 76 nt
Filed under: Bacillota bacterium
Lineage: Bacteria; Bacillati; Bacillota
Description: tRNA-Lys
Rfam family: tRNA
About the family: Transfer RNA (tRNA) molecules are approximately 80 nucleotides in length.
Source: RNAcentral
GCCCCGUUAGCUCAGUCGGUAGAGCAUUUGACUUUUAAUCAAAGGGUCUGGAGUUCGAAUCUCCAACGGAGCACCA